RNAcentral lists this ribosomal RNA (465 nucleotides) under uncultured bacterium. RNAcentral's name for it is "partial 16S ribosomal RNA". It matches the Rfam family "Bacterial small subunit ribosomal RNA", at positions 28 to 507 of the family's 1533-position model. The record is from RNAcentral.
GACGAACGCUGGCGGCGUGCUUAACACAUGCCAGUCGAACGGAAAGGCCCUGCUUGCAGGGUACUCGAGUGGCGAACGGGUGAGUAACACGUGGGUGAUCUGCCCUGCACUUCGGGAUAAGCCUGGGAAACUGGGUCUAAUACCGGAUAUGACCUUCCAUGUAGUGUGGGGGGUGGAAAGAUUUAUCGGUGUGGGAUGAGCCCGCGGCCUAUCAGCUUGUUGGUGGGGUAAUGGCCUACCAAGGCGUCGACGGGUAGCCGGCCUGAGAGGGUGGACGGCCACAUUGGGACUGAGAUACGGCCCAGACUCCUACGGGAGGCAGCAGUGGGGAAUAUUGCACAAUGGGCGGAAGCCUUAUGCAGCGACGCCGCGUGGGGGAUGACGGCCUUCGGGUUGUAAACCUCUUUCGACAGGGACGAAGCUUCGGUGACGGUACCUGUAGAAGAAGCACCGGCUAACUACGUG